AAAUCGUACCCCAAACCGACACAGGUGGUCAGGUAGAGAAUACCAAGGCGCUUGAGAGAACUCGGGUGAAGGAACUAGGCAAAAUGGUGCCGUAACUUCGGGAGAAGGCACGCUGACACGUAGGUGAAGUGAUUUACUCAUGGAGCUGAAGUCAGUCGAAGAUACCAGCUGGCUGCAACUGUUUAUUAAAAACACAGCACUGUGCAAACACGAAAGUGGACGUAUACGGUGUGACGCCUGCCCGGU
RNAcentral lists this ribosomal RNA (246 nucleotides) under Salmonella enterica subsp. enterica serovar Saintpaul. RNAcentral's name for it is "partial 23S ribosomal RNA". It matches the Rfam family "Bacterial large subunit ribosomal RNA", at positions 1639 to 1867 of the family's 2925-position model. The record is from RNAcentral. Lineage: Bacteria; Pseudomonadati; Pseudomonadota; Gammaproteobacteria; Enterobacterales; Enterobacteriaceae.